RNAcentral lists this transfer-messenger RNA (79 nucleotides) under Actinomycetota bacterium. RNAcentral describes it as "partial transfer-messenger RNA". It matches the Rfam family "transfer-messenger RNA", at positions 292 to 374 of the family's 374-position model. Rfam says of the family: Bacterial tmRNA, also known as 10Sa RNA or SsrA, is named for its dual tRNA and mRNA-like properties. Its role is to liberate the mRNA from a stalled ribosome. To accomplish this part of the tmRNA is used as a reading frame that ends in a translation stop signal. The record is from RNAcentral. Lineage: Bacteria; Bacillati; Actinomycetota.
AAAUAAUAAACGGAAUAAGCAUGUAGAGCCGAAGGCCGCGGACUGACGGACGCGGGUUCAAUUCCCGCCGCCUCCACCA